RNAcentral lists this ribosomal RNA (233 nucleotides) under uncultured bacterium. RNAcentral's name for it is "partial 16S ribosomal RNA". It matches the Rfam family "Bacterial small subunit ribosomal RNA", at positions 118 to 351 of the family's 1533-position model. The record is from RNAcentral.
UGGGCAAUCUGCCCUUCUCAUCGGAAUAAGCGUUGGAAACGACGUCUAAUGCCGAAUACGACCUCCUUUCGCAUGAUCGGAGGUGGAAAGCUCCGGCGGAGAAGGAUGAGCUCGCGGCCUAUCAGCUAGUUGGUGUGGGUAAUGGCCCACCAAGGCGACGACGGGUAGCCGGCCUGAGAGGGUGACCGGCCACACUGGGACUGAGACACGGCCCAGACUCCUACGGGAGGCAG